CCUACGGGAGGCAGCAGUGGGGAAUAUUGCACAAUGGGGGAAACCCUGAUGCAGCGACGCCACGUGAAGGAAGAAGUAUUUCGGUAUGUAAACUUCUAUCAGCAGGGAAGAAAAUGACGGUACCUGACUAAGAAGCCCCGGCUAACUACGUGCCAGCAGCCGCGGUAAUACGUAGGGGUCAAGCGUUAUCCGGAUUUACUGGGUGUAAAGGGAGCGUAGGCGGUUUAGCAAGUCAUAAGUGAAAGCCCGGGGCUCAACUCCGGGACUGCUUUUGAAACUGUUGAACUAGAGUGCAGGAGAGGUAAGUGGAAUUCCUAGGGUAGCGGUGAAAUGCGUAGAUAUUAGGAGGAACACCAGUGGCGAAGGCGGCUUACUGGACUGUAACUGACGUUGAGGCUCGAAAGCGUGGGGAGCAAACAGGAUUAGAUACCCUAGUAGUC
This 440-nucleotide ribosomal RNA is filed under the name uncultured bacterium. RNAcentral describes it as "partial 16S ribosomal RNA". It matches the Rfam family "Bacterial small subunit ribosomal RNA", at positions 338 to 795 of the family's 1533-position model. The record is from RNAcentral.